Molecule: transfer RNA, 50 nt
Filed under: Cheiracanthium triviale
Lineage: Eukaryota; Metazoa; Arthropoda; Arachnida; Araneae; Cheiracanthiidae
Also listed under: 1 other name
Description: tRNA-Ser
Source: RNAcentral
UUAGGUUUUUAGAAAGCUGCUAACUUUUUAAUAGUAUAAAACUACUUAAA